UUGAACUAGAGAACCCAGUGUCAUGGAGGGGAAGGGGAGAAAUGGGACACAUGGUGAGGAGGAGAAGGAGGAAGGGACGGGCUAAUCCAGGCCUGGGAGGCAGUGGAGAAUCUGAAGGUGGGGAGUCCACUAGCUAAGAAUUCCCAAGCCUCGGGGCUGAAAGGGAGUUGAGUAAAUAUCCAGUCCAGCCCCUUCAUUUUAUAGAAGUAAGGCCAAGGGAAGCAAGGUGUCAUCAGUUCUUCAGUCAGUAAACAUUGAUAAGUGCCUACUAUGUGCCAGGCACUGUUGGGCUCCCUCAUCUUAAAGAUGGCCUUCCUUUCAUAUUCUUUAUGGUGUUUCCCUAGCACCCUCCUUUCUUUUGUAAAAUCCUUGGGGGUCUCCAGGACUAGGAAAACAUCAGAAUCCCUUCCUCCCCAUGCCAUAAGCCUGAGCUCUGACCAAGGGGAUAAUUGGGGGGAAUCUACUCUCUUUUUCCCUCCCUCCUCAGAGGAGAGAAGAGAGGUCUAUGCUUGAAGCCAAGACCCUAGGGUCCAAUGGCCCUAAGGGAGGGGGCACCCAGCCAGUAUUAGGGAGGGAGCUGGAGGAAGGGGAGGGGCUCCUGCCUCCCUGGUGGAGCCAAUGAAGUGGAGAGAGAGCUCAGUCUCCAUGGUGAUGGGAGUCUCCUUAGCAACUGCCCCUCCAACCAGCGGCUCUGGCUACCGGAGGGGUGGGGGGGAAUGUGUGCAGCCAAGGGCACCUUAACCCCCAGUGUCUCAAGACCCUAGGCCAGAGGCUCUUGCAGUGCUGAGGGUGUCGGGCUCCUAGGGACUCUGGAAAGUUGCUAUUACCUGAAAGUGUGGCCUUGCAUACUGCUGGCUGAUUGCCCAUUGGGGACUUCCUGAGGAAAAACAGACAUGGCAUGAGUCCCCCUACAGAGAGUUCCUGGGCACCAGAGCCCCCCAGAGUGGGCACUCACUUGUUGCCAACAAUGGCUGGCACAUUGGCCAGAAGGGAGAAGUUGCUUCGGACACUUCUUAGACUUGCCAGCACCUGGGGGAGAGCAUAAGAAGAGUAGUUAAAGAAGUAGGUGAGUAUGUGAAAAUCCCUCUCUAAGUCACCUUCUUGAGUGCCUCAACUUAUACCAACACCAACCCUCUUCAAGAUUUUUCUCUUUAAACUGACCUGGGCGAAGGGUGUCACAAUCAAGUCUUCAUGUCUGCAAUAAACCACGGUGAUGGUGUCAGAAACCAAAGGUCAAAGUUUAGAGAUUGGGGGGUAGGUCUCCCCAACUCCCAAACUAUGCCAAUGGAGAGGCCAUCUGAAGUGGGAAAGUUGGGUACUGGGGCUAGGAACCAGAGUGGGUACAAAGCCCUGUAGGCUUAAGAUGAUAAGGCUUUAUCAUGCUUAGGGAGUAGGGAGGAUGAGUGUUGAGUCUGGAUGAUUUGGGGGACCUGGGAAAAUUGAGGAGAGGGUUAAGAAGAGGUAUGCUCACACUUCACUGGCAAUGGAAGAGUUUCGGGACAUGGUCUUGGGUGACAUGUCAUAGUCACUGUCCGAGCGGUACAGGAAAGACUCACGGCGCUGGCUCUGGGGGGCACUGGGGGGCAGCACCAGCCCCGGGCUCGCCUGCGAGUCCAAAGGGCUUCGUCCUGGGGAUGGGGAUGGCCCAUUCUCCACCUCAAAGCUGCAACAGGGAGAGAAGGAGAAAGGUGGAGGGAGAGGGAGAGGGAGAGAGAGAGAGAGAGAGAGAGAGAGAGAGAGAGAGAGAGAGAGAGAGAGAGAGAGAGAGAGAGAGAGAGAGAGAGAGGAGAGAGAGAGGGGAGUGGGGUAGGGACAGUGAUACAGAUAAGAACUAAGGGAGAGAUAAUGGGAGAUGAUCAGAGAUACAGGAGAAACAGGGACAGAAUUCAGAAGAGGUAACUAGGAGGAGACAUGGAUAGAAGGUAAGAGGUUCCCUUUCCAAUCAUAGAACCAAUAUGUUCACCUCCUAUCCACCCCAUUGACUGAGGAGAGAGAGCUCUCCUGGCACCUAAACGGUGAUGCCCUGACACCAUGGAAAUUGAUGGACUUGGAUUUGGGAAGUCCAAUAUUCAAAUUCAGCUUCAGAAAACAUUUACUAGCUGUAUGACCUUAGAUGAAUCACUUAACCUCUCCUGCCUCAGUUUCCAUAUCCGUAAAAUGGGAAUAAUAAUAGCAUCUACCUCCCAGGGUGGUUGAGAGGCCAAAACAAGAUAUUUAUAAAGCAGUUUGAAAACUUUAAAAUACUAAAUAAAUGGUAGCUAUUAUUAUGAAGAAGGGUGUGUGUGUGGAAAAGUAAGGAUUUGAGUUCUAGUCCUAAAGCCAGCAAGCUUUGCACUCAGUUGAUAAAUCACAUUGAAUUGGACUGACUUGAUCCUUAAUUGGUCAUUAAUUCUUAUCAUGGUACAUCACUAAUUCACUUUCCCCUAUGGGCUUUUGUUUCUCCCCCCAAAUAAUCAGGGAGUUGAAUGAGAUGCUCUCUGACGUCCUUGAAUCUCUAUGAUUCUCUGCUUCUAAGUCUCUCCUGACUCUAAGAGCCGAGGGAUGAGAGACAGGAUGUGACCAGGGAACUAGCCCCUCCUCCCAAGUCACCAAGGACCCCAGGCACUAUUUCUCUAGGUCCCAUCCUGGCUUUUCCUAAGGGAAAACUGUAAGGAAUGAGUGUGCGAGUUAUAGCUUUAGGGAAGAAUCCGAGAGAGAGGUGUGCAAGAUGAGGGACACAAACUCAAAGUCUCCCUUUCACACACACAAUACACAGGUAGGAAAUGACAGAGAUUGGACAGAAUCUGAUAGACCAAGAAACCAUGGGAAAAGACAAGCAGAAAACCUGAGAGAGAGUCUGAAAGAGAAGCAUUAGACAGAAAAAGAGACAGACACACUGGGAUAGACAGACAGAUGAUUCCUGAAGAAAUGGGGAGAGCUGGCCCCUGACUGACAGAGAAAAGGAAUCGACAGCAUGGUUCUGGCCUUGGCGCCUGGCCCAGCUCAGUCCUGGCAUGACGCCUGCCCCACCCUCCCCUGGGGGCCCAUGUCUGCGCACUCCAGAGCCCUGGGGCUGGGUACAGGUGGGGGGGGGGAGGUCUCAUGAGCCCCCUGUUUGUGCUUCCAGGAGCUCAGCCUCCUCUUAACCCUAUCCUUACCAUAUGGCAUAUAAGCCAGCAGCCCAGCCUAGCAGAGAGAAAGGGGAACUGUUGUGAUCAGGUUGGAUUUGGGAGAGAAAAGUCUGAUCUCAGGGAAAGGAGUAUUGGUAACCUCCUUGCUAGGGGAAAGAGGUUUAGAAUCUGUGCCCUGGCCGCUGGGUAGGAGCUGGAAGAGAACAGACAUUCCAAAUUGGUGAGGGAGGGAGAUAGUCUACCCCUUGGGCCCCCAAUCUCCCCCUUCACAAUCUAAGCCUCCAAAGUCUUCCGGUAAGUUUCUCCUAAAUCCAGCCAACUCAUCAGUCACCAACUGAAAAAUCAACACAGGUAGGGGUCAUUCUUGUGAGCCUUUACUCGGGCCCUUCAUUCAGCCUGCCCUGGUAGUCCUCUCUCUUCACUCAACCCACCUAGCUCCCCAGUAAUGUUAGCCCAACAAAGGGCUAGGGAGAGUAAAGAAGUCAUUUCAUUCUUUCCAAGUGCAGAUUUGGGCAUUAUCUGAUAUUUUGCUCCAUUCCUCAAUCUUUCUUUCUCUCAUGCUAUCUAUUGGCAAUGCCACUCUCUCCACCCAAGGCUUCCACUACUACUUCCUAGGAGAUGGCUCUCAAAUAUUCAGCUCUAGUCCUGACCAGUGGUCUGAAGUCCCAACCUGCUUCUCAGUCUAGUGUAGCUGUUCCCCUAGUGUCAGACUUGGGUGUGUCCACAACUCAAGCUCAUUAUCUUUGCCUCAAAACUCACUUCUCCUGUUGACUUCAUUGUUUCUGUUUAAACAUGGCAUCACUUGACCACUGACCACUCAGGAUCCUAUUUUUUAACUUUGGGGUUAUCUUUGUCUCUUCCCUCUCCCAUUUUACUUGACAAAACCUUCAAUUCCACUUCAACUCUCUCUCUCUCUCUCUCUCUCUCUCUCUCUCUCUCUCUCUCUCUCUCUCUCUCUCUCUCUCUC
Molecule: non-coding RNA, 4077 nt
Organism: Monodelphis domestica (gray short-tailed opossum)
Lineage: Eukaryota; Metazoa; Chordata; Mammalia; Didelphimorphia; Didelphidae
Source: RefSeq, a predicted model, not a curated record